CGUGUCCAAAUUCCCUUAUUUUGAUGGAGCUUUGCCCCUCGAGUUCCUCUCGAUCCGGAAGUCUUUGUGAUCCUCCAUCUUAAAAAGACAGACCCACUGCAACUCAAUAUGUGGAGCAGCAGCACCCUAAGGUUGACUGGGGUAGUAGCGCAAACUAAAGGUGGUGGACAGUGGUUCUGCCCUGCCAGAGGAGACCAUCCAGCACCAGCAGCCUCAAUACCACUAACUUAAAAAACUAAAAUGAAGACGGAAAGAACAAUUAAACAUAGAAAUCACUGUACAGACCAAGCUGCAGAUAAAAAGCAAUGCACUGUCAUCCAUGCAAAAUAGAAAUGCAUUUUACAUUAAAUCUAAUAUGUUUCACUUAAAUAAAUUACAAUAAAUCAAAAAAGGGUUUAAAGUACACGACAAGUAAGCCACAUUUAAGUGAGCUGUGUGGCAGCACAUGUGGCCAUAACACUGUAGGUAAUUUUAUUUAGCUUGAUUUAAACAAUACCAUUUCAAGACUUCAAUCACAGUAUGCACAAAAAGGCCAGUUCAAAUUUGUCCAAACUAAAGCAAAUUGGGGUACAGUGUCACCCAGGCUGCUAAAAUUGAGCUUUAUCAAUAGAUAGGUAAAAUAAGGGGGGAAAUAAAUAAUUGUACUGUUGUACAAUGUUAUGUAAAAUGUAUCUAUAGAGGUAAAGGGCUUCUAAAAACCAAAGACAAUUGUUUUUAGAAUAAAAAGUGACUAUGGCAAGACCAACACUAGAUACUGCAUUUACACAAAAGGGAGAAAGCGCUCCAAAAGUACAUUUAGGUCAGGAAACAACAUAUACUGCAACUAGUUUUCCCUGUAGUUAUGACAAACAUCCCUGUCUCAGUUCACCUUGGAGACAUUUGACAGUCGCACAUAUACAUAUUUGAUACAUUUAUCAAAAACAAAUAAUUUUACAUUCGUUAAGUUACAAAAAAAACAUAGAGAAGUACUAUAAAUCUUUAUUUUAUGCAGUGAUAUUUGUCCUAUUUAUCCUCAAAAGCAAUCUGAUCAAUACAUUUUAACUUUAAUAAGUCACAUAUAAAAACGCAUUCUACUCAGCUCAACUUCCACUUUGCCAGCUUUUUAGUGAAAAAAAACAAGCUCACCAAAACUCAUGUCUUCCAGGGUAAAUAUCAAAUAAUUGUCUUUCUGAUUUGGAUGUGAUCUGCCCAGAAAACUGGGCAAACUGCCUAGAAAGUACAGUAGGUCUCAGUGUAACCAUAACUACAACCAUUAAAAUUAACAUAUAACUUAGAAAAUACAAACAUAAGCCAAAGAAAAAGCAAUGUUAAAUAUCCCAUUUAUUGAAAACAUUCUUUUCCCAAAUAACAUGAUGGAAUAUUUAUAUUUACAUGGUUACAGCACAUCAGAAAAAUGCUAUUCAGACCACUUACUGUAUUGCUACUUAGGUACUCAUCUUCAGCUGCAAAGACAUAAAAAUACUUUUUGGGUUUGCAAAUGCACAGGAUAAAAACACAAUCUACAGCUGAUGUCACAGUCUUCAUUAAAACUGGAAUUGUUAUUGGAGAGUUAAAGCUUAUUUAGGCAACAUCUAAAUACAUGAUUAUUUGUGGGAAAUGAAGUUCAUAAUAUGCCCAAGAGACAAAAAUACAUACUAUUAUUCAAGAGAAAGAUGGGAUUUCCAUUCUAAAAGAGCAAAUAAUUGGUGAUGGAGAGAAAUGUUGCUUAUUUCUUAACGGAUGUGAACAAUAAAAACAAGCAGUGACAUGUCCCCCACAAUUUGAAGAAGACAAAUGCAUGAUCCUGAGGUAGCAAAGCCUAAUCAAAUACACUUCAAAUUGAUCUAACUGAAAUUCUUUUAUGCUAAACAACUAGCUUAAAAAAAACAAAAAACAAAACUUAUAUACAGAAAAUUAUACACAACAAAAUGAUUCAACAAUACUUUAAAUUGCUUCCAAUUUAACCCUCUGACAAGAUUCUGAGUCCUGAGAAAGAUCAGUGCACGCAAACUGCAUAAUAGGCAUACAAAAAAAGGCAUACUUCAAAAUUAAUAUAUUGUAAUAAUGUGAUACUGAUAACGUUCUAAACGUUCUAAAAUGAGAGCAAAGACA
This is a long non-coding RNA of Betta splendens (Siamese fighting fish), 2091 nucleotides long. RefSeq lists it as uncharacterized. The record is from RefSeq and is a predicted model, not a curated record. Lineage: Eukaryota; Metazoa; Chordata; Actinopteri; Anabantiformes; Osphronemidae. The transcript is spliced from 2 exons.